RNAcentral lists this ribosomal RNA (325 nucleotides) under uncultured eukaryote. Its description in RNAcentral is "partial 18S ribosomal RNA". It matches the Rfam family "Eukaryotic small subunit ribosomal RNA", at positions 1470 to 1796 of the family's 1831-position model. The record is from RNAcentral.
CCCUUAGAUGUUCUGGGCCGCACGCGCGCUACACUGAUGCAUUCAACAAGCCUAGCCUUGACCGAGAGGUCCGGGUAAUCUUUGAAACUGCAUCGUGAUGGGGCUAGAUUAUUGCAAUUAUUAAUCUUCAACGAGGAAUGCCUAGUAAGCGUGAUUCAUCAAAUCGCGUUGAAUACGUCCCUGCCCUUUGUACACACCGCCCGUCGCUCCUACCGAUUGAGUGGUCCGGUGAGGCUUUGGGAUCUGAGCGGAAAGAGCGUUUCGCUGUUUCUGCCCGGAAAACUCAGUCGAACCUUAUCAUUUAGAGGAAGGAGAAGUCGUAACA